UACGUUCCCGGGUCUUGUACACACCGCCCGUCACACCAUGGGAGCGGGUUUUACCAGAAGUAGGUAGCUUAACCGUAAGGUAGGGCGCUUACCACGGUAGGAUUCGUGACUGGGGUGAAGUCGUAAACAAGGUACC
This 136-nucleotide ribosomal RNA is filed under the name uncultured bacterium. Its description in RNAcentral is "partial 16S ribosomal RNA". It matches the Rfam family "Bacterial small subunit ribosomal RNA", at positions 1367 to 1500 of the family's 1533-position model. The record is from RNAcentral.